GGAGUUAGCCGGUGCUUCUUCUGUGAGUGAUGUCCUUCCUGCCGGUUAUUGACCCGCAGGCCUUCUUCCUCACUGAAAGUGCUUUACAACCCGAAGGCCUUCUUCACACACGCGGCAUGGCUGGAUCAGGGUUGCCCCCAUUGUCCAAUAUUCCCCACUGCUGCCUCCCGUAGGAGUCUGGGCCGUGUCUCAGUCCCAGUGUGGCUGAUCAUCCUCUCAGACCAGCUACGGAUCGUCGCCUUGGUGAGCCGUUACCUCACCAACCAGCUAAUCCGACAUAGGCUCAUCCGAUAGCGCGAGGCCCGAAGGUCCCCCGCUUUCCCCCGUAGGGCGUAUGCGGUAUUAGCCUGGGUUUCCCCAGGUUAUCCCCCACUACCGGGCAGAUUCCUAUGCAUUACUCACCCGUCCGCCUCUCGCCACCAGGGAGCAAGCUCCCCGUGCUGCCGCUCGACUUGCAUGUGUUAGGCCUGCCGCCAGCGUUCAAUCUGAGCCAUGAUCAAACUCUGA
RNAcentral lists this ribosomal RNA (507 nucleotides) under uncultured bacterium. RNAcentral describes it as "partial 16S ribosomal RNA". The record is from RNAcentral.